CAACUGCCCUGGGAGGGAAAAUCCUUUUUCUUGCUGCUGCCAGCAAGGAAAAGAUUUGGAAAGACAGCAGGAAUAGCU
Molecule: unclassified non-coding RNA, 78 nt
Filed under: Flavobacterium frigidimaris
Lineage: Bacteria; Pseudomonadati; Bacteroidota; Flavobacteriia; Flavobacteriales; Flavobacteriaceae
Description: Flavo-1 RNA
Source: RNAcentral